CCCCUAGAUGUUCUGGGCCGCACGCGCGCUACACUGAACAGUUCAACAAGUCUUAACCUUGGCCGAUAGGUCUGGGUAAUCUUUGAACGCUGUUCGUGAUUGGGAUAGACCUUUGCAAUUAUGGGUCUUCAACGAGGAAUUCCUAGUAAACGCAAGUCAUCAGCUUGCAUUGAUUACGUCCCUGCCCUUUGUACCCACCGCCCGUCGCACCUACCGAUUGAAUGGUCCGGUGAAAUCUCGGGACGGCGGCUUGGUCGCUUGCGUCCGACUGCUGAAACUUGAUUAAACCAUAUCAUUUAGAGGAAGGUGAANUCGUANCA
Molecule: ribosomal RNA, 320 nt
Filed under: uncultured eukaryote
Lineage: Eukaryota
Description: partial 18S ribosomal RNA
Rfam family: Eukaryotic small subunit ribosomal RNA
Source: RNAcentral